This 392-nucleotide ribosomal RNA is filed under the name uncultured Chrysophyceae. RNAcentral describes it as "partial small subunit ribosomal RNA". It matches the Rfam family "Eukaryotic small subunit ribosomal RNA", at positions 30 to 432 of the family's 1831-position model. The record is from RNAcentral. Lineage: Eukaryota; Chrysophyceae.
GCUUGUCUCAAAGAUUAAGCCAUGCAUGUCUAAGUAUAAGCAACUAUACGGUGAAACUGCGAAUGGCUCAUUAAAUCAGUUAUCGUUUAUUUGAUAGUACCUUACUACUUGGAUAACCGUGGUAAUUCUAGAGCUAAUACAUGCUAAAAACCCCAACUUCGGAAGGGGUGUAUUUAUUAGAUGGAAACCAAUGCGGGGCAACCCGGAUUCUGGUGAUUCAUAAUAACUUUCGGAUCGAUCCUCGGAUCGAUGCAUCAUUCAAGUUUCUGCCCUAUCAGCUUUGGAUGGUAGGGUAUUGGCCUACCAUGGCUUUAACGGGUAACGGAGAAUUAGGGUUCGAUUCCGGAGAGGGAGCCUGAGAAAUGGCUACCACAUCCAAGGAAGGCAGCAGG